RNAcentral lists this transfer RNA (71 nucleotides) under Cavia porcellus (domestic guinea pig). It matches the Rfam family "tRNA". From Rfam's summary of the family: Transfer RNA (tRNA) molecules are approximately 80 nucleotides in length. Their secondary structure includes four short double-helical elements and three loops (D, anti-codon, and T loops). Further hydrogen bonds mediate the characteristic L-shaped molecular structure. tRNAs have two regions of fundamental functional importance: the anti-codon, which is responsible for specific mRNA codon recognition, and the 3' end, to which the tRNAs corresponding amino acid is attached (by aminoacyl-tRNA synthetases). tRNAs cope with the degeneracy of the genetic code in two manners: having more than one tRNA (with a specific anti-codon) for a particular amino acid; and 'wobble' base-pairing, i.e. permitting non-standard base-pairing at the 3rd anti-codon position. The record is from Rfam by way of RNAcentral. Lineage: Eukaryota; Metazoa; Chordata; Mammalia; Rodentia; Caviidae.
AGGAGUGUAGCUCAGUGACAGAGCGCCUGCCUGGCAUGCACGAGCCGCUGGGUUUGACCCCCACACUGCUG